Molecule: ribosomal RNA, 330 nt
Filed under: uncultured eukaryote
Lineage: Eukaryota
Description: partial 18S ribosomal RNA
Rfam family: Eukaryotic small subunit ribosomal RNA
Source: RNAcentral
CCCUUAGAUGUUCUGGGCCGCACGCGCGCUACACUGAUGAAUUCAACGAGCUCCUAACCUAGGCCGAAGGGUCCGGGUAAUCUUUGAAAUUUCAUCGUGAUGGGGAUAGAUUAUUGCAAUUAUUAAUCUUCGACGAGGAAUUCCUAGUAAGCGCGAGUCAUCAGCUCGCGUUGAUUACGUCCCUGCCCUUUGUACACACCGCCCGUCGCUCCUACCGAUUGAAUGGUCCGGUGAAAUGUUCGGACCGCGACAAGGCGGACGGUUCGCUGUCAGCUUUGCUGCGGGAAGUUCAUUAAACCUUAUCAUUUAGAGGAAGGAGAAGUCGUAACA